GCCCAGCCGUAAACAAUUAAUUUACACCUAUGAGCGCCAGGGAACUACGAGCCAUGCUUAAAACCCAAAGGAUUUGACGGUGUCCCACCCCCCUAGAGGAGCCUGUUCUAUAAUCGAUGAUCCCCGCUAUACCCUACCGCUUCUUGCUUAUCAGUCUGUAUACCUCCGUCGAAAGCUUACCAUGUGAACGUUGCAACAGUAAGUUCAAUGACUAACAUCAAUACGUCAGGUCAAGGUGCAGCUUAAGAAACGGAAAGUGAUGGGCUACACUUUCUAAUCUAGAACAAACGAAAGACUAUGUGAAACCAUGGUCACGAAGGCGGAUUUACUACUAAAAAGAAAAUAGAGUGUUCUUUUUAACCCGGCUCUGGGACGUGUACACACCGCCCGUCACCCUCUUCGAUAGUGCUAUCCUAUAGUCCAUAACCCAUUUCUACGUCCUAGAAGAGGCAAGUCGUAACAUGGUAAGUGUACUGGAAAGUGCACUUGGUAUAUCACGAAAUAUAGCUUAA
Molecule: ribosomal RNA, 512 nt
Filed under: Odorrana sp. ROM 26476
Lineage: Eukaryota; Metazoa; Chordata; Amphibia; Anura; Ranidae
Description: partial 12S ribosomal RNA
Rfam family: Bacterial small subunit ribosomal RNA
Source: RNAcentral